This 699-nucleotide ribosomal RNA is filed under the name Pluteus padanilus. RNAcentral describes it as "eukaryotic LSU rRNA". The stretch from base 309 to 462 matches the Rfam family "5.8S ribosomal RNA". Lineage: Eukaryota; Fungi; Basidiomycota; Agaricomycetes; Agaricales; Pluteaceae. The record is from RNAcentral.
AGAGGAAGUAAAAGUCGUAACAAGGUUUCCGUAGGUGAACCUGCGGAAGGAUCAUUAGUGAAUAAACAAGUGCUGGCUGUGCUGGUCAUUCGUGGCAUGUGCACGUUAGCCCGUUUCAUUCUAUCUUCCACCUGUGCACUUUGUGUAGUCUAUUGUAUUGCUGCUUUUCAGGCAUUAGUCUGGUUGAGAGGUUGCUUGUUCCCUUGGAUCAGGCUCUUCUUGGGCAUGCAGUAGGCUAUGUUCAUUACCAACACCAUAGAAAUGUUAUAGAAUGUGUAUUAGGCUUUUCAGCCUUUAAAUCAUAAUACAACUUUCAACAACGGAUCUCUUGGCUCUCGCAUCGAUGAAGAACGCAGCGAAAUGCGAUAAGUAAUGUGAAUUGCAGAAUUCAGUGAAUCAUCGAAUCUUUGAACGCACCUUGCGCUCCUUGGCAUUCCGAGGAGCAUGCCUGUUUGAGUGUCAUUAAAUUCUCAAUCCCAUAUAAUUUUGUGUUAUACGGUGAUUGGACUGUGGAGGCUUGCUGGCUUGUUUCAGCUCCUCUGAAAUGUAUUAGCAGGGCUAUCAAUGCCUUCUGUGCUUUGUAUGAUAUGUAUCUAUACACUGUUGCAGUUGCGCAUGUCUGCUUCCAACUGUCUUGUAUGAGACAUUUGACCAAUUUGACCUCAAAUCAGGUAGGACUACCCGCUGAACUUAAGCAUA